This is a long non-coding RNA of Strigops habroptila (Kakapo), 1901 nucleotides long. NCBI's taxonomy places the organism in Eukaryota, Metazoa, Chordata, Aves, Psittaciformes, Psittacidae. The record is from Ensembl.
CUUUUUUUUUUUUUUUUUUUUUUAGCAGCAAUUGGCAAGUUUGGGUUUAUGUGUGUAUGGUCUCCUGAAAAAAACAAAGAUUUCAAAUGUGUCUGCAAUGUGCAGUCUUAAUAGUGCGGUCUUCACAGCUGUUUUCUUGUGCUAUAAAGUGAGCUUUUCUGUGCUUUCUGUACAGUGAAGAAUCCUAGACACACAGAUUUUUAAAUCUGUAGGAGCCUGUGGGAGUUCAGUGCAAUUCUGCAUUGCCCAGACUAAAGAAAUUCACCCUCACUUCCUAAAAGCUAGCAAUCACAGACCAGGUUUGUACUACUAAGUGAAAAUGUCUUGAUUAUAUACAGUCUGGUCAGCCACAUGGUUAGCAUGUAAAUAAUUUAUGUUGAUGUAGUGUAUUCAUUUUGUCUUCUUUGAUUCAGAUAUUUUACUCUGAAUAAAAUGUAGUGUAGAAGAGGCUCAAGAAAAGCCUUGCUGUGGGAAACUGGCAUUUAUAGUUUAAUAGGAGUUCAGUAGCUAAGAAAUGUUUUAAUAAUAGCUGAAGUCAUGUGCUGACCCUUAUUUCACAUUAAAAUGACCGGAGUUUGACACUAAGAUGACAGCUGGUUAAUACAACUUGAGAUUUUAAAGUGCUUGAGUAUAUGUAAAUAUUAUGACUGAUGUCCUAAGUGUGUUGGAAGAUACUUCAAGAAAUGUCCUCAUUCUAACAGUUUACUGCAGUCCCCAGUUUUUGAGAAUAAUAUUGCAGAAGAUAGUUUAUCUGCUGUAUUCAGAGGACGUAGAUAGAAUAAUUAAGAAUUAUGACUGACCCCUGUAAAAACAGAUAGUCUGCAUUUUGUACUUCUACUCAACUGUACUGUAAGAACUGUUGAGUAUAAAACCUGAGAUUUCAGAUUUGUCUAGUUUGAUCUCUUAAAGCUUGAGAAGUAGAUGUCUUUGAAGUCUGUUUUUUAUAUGGAAAUAUAUAUAUAUCAUUCUUUAGAAUAUGCAGUGAAUACAUUAAUAACAUUUUGGUUCAGUCACUGGAAACAAAAGGGACAAACUAUUUAAAGUCAAAAACGGUAAGUUGGUGAGCAAGAGUCAUUGUAUUUUGGAACUCUGAAGUUUCAAAGAAGGAAGUGUCACCUGUUAAAGUACUUAAAGCAUUUCAGGUUUCCACAAGUUGGAGCCUUUUCAUGCUUCUUUACUCUAAAACAUUUUACAAGAUGUUUCAUGUAGUCUAGCGUCUUUCUUUUGUAUAUUGCAUAAUUUAUUCUGUUGUAAAAUAUACAGAUUUUUAUAGAAAUACCUAUUAUUUUUCGACAGAAGUAGAUUAAAGAAUAAGAAGCAAUAAGCCAAAAUUGGGUAUGGCCAUUAAAGUAGGAUUUGAAUAGGGUAGAGGAACUAUUAAGGUGGCAAAACAUAACACUUCCACCAUCAGAAAAUCCAUUGGGGAAUUAUGAGAGCUGGAAGGAAUGAAGUUUGUUUUUUCUGGGAAUUUGCAUCUCAUAGGUUGGUUGCAUGUUCCAACCAGAGCUUUUCCUGCUAUGGGGCAUUUUACAGUGUGCCAUAUCUAUGGCAUAGAUUAUAAUGUAUUAGAACAUGGUGGUUCUACAUAUUGGAAUAGGGGUUUCUUUGGGCUGAUUUUAAGCAUCUUUUUGCCAGGGCUGGUUUUCAGUGGAUCCUGAAAUGGUUGUGAGAACACCACGGCUGGUUGAGGGGAAGAGAGAAGGCGAGUGACAAAGGAUGAGGAGGAGGGAGCUGUGGCAGCCCUGUCUAAGAGCAGCAUUGGUUUUCCCAGUACUCUUUUGUUUGCCUGCUACCACUGUUCAUGAAGUUUCUCAGAAACUCGCUGUCUUUUCCAGCAUAUCAUACAUGUUUGUUUUUUUAAAGUAUUGGUAUUUGCAAGUCCAUCCUUGGAUGAGCUUUGU